GACGAACGCUGGCGGCGUGCUUAACACAUGCAAGUCGAACGGUAAGGCCCUUCGGGGUACACGAGUGGCGAACGGGUGAGUAACACGUGGGUGAUCUGCCCUGCACUUCGGGAUAAGCCUGGGAAACUGGGUCUAAUACCGGAUAGGACCACUGCCUGCAUGGGUGGUGGUGGAAAGCUUUUGCGGUGUGGGAUGGGCCCGCGGCCUAUCAGCUUGUUGGUGGGGUGAUGGCCUGCCAAGGCGACGACGGGUAGCCGGCCUGAGGGGGUGACCGGCCACACUGGGACUGAGCUACGGCCCAGACUCCUACGGGAGGCAGCAGUGGGGAAUAUUGCACAAUGGGCGCAAGCCUGCUGCAGCGACGCCGCGUGAGGGAUGACGGCCUUCGGGUUGUAAACCUCUUUCAGCACCGACGAAACGCAAGUGACGGUAGGUGCAGAAGAAGGACCGGCCAACUACGUGCCAGCCGCCGCAGUAA
Molecule: ribosomal RNA, 478 nt
Filed under: uncultured bacterium
Lineage: Bacteria
Description: partial 16S ribosomal RNA
Rfam family: Bacterial small subunit ribosomal RNA
Source: RNAcentral